GUCCUGUUCGCUACCCACGCUUUCGUCCCUCAGCGUCAGUGUAUUGUUAGUGAUCUGCCUUCGCAAUCGGUAUUCUAUGUAAUAUCUAUGCAUUUCACCGCUACACUACAUAUUCUAACCACUUCACAAUAACUCAAGUCUUUCAGUAUCAAAGGCAGUUCUAUCGUUGAGCGAUAGGAUUUCACCUCUGACUUAAAAGACCGCCUGCGGACCCUUUAAACCCAAUGAUUCCGGAUAACGCUUGGAUCCUCCGUAUUACCGCGGCUGCUGGCACGGAGUUAGCCGAUCCUUAUUCUUACAGUACCGUCAGCUUGGUACACGUACCAAGGUUUCUUCCUGUAUAAAAGCAGUUUACAACCCAUAGGGCAGUCUUCCUGCACGCGGCAUGGCUGGAUCAGAGUUGCCUCCAUUGUCCAAUAUUCCUCACUGCUGCCUCCCGUAGGAGUCUGGUCCGUGUCUCAGUACCAGUGUGGGGGAUCUCCCUCUCAGGACCCCUACCUAUCGCGGUCUUGGUGAGCCGUUACCUCACCAACUAGCUAAUCUCACGCAGGCUCAUCAAAUAGCGAAAGGUCUGUAAACAGAUCCCCUCCUUUCCCCCUCAGGGAUUAUGCGGUAUUAGCAGUCGUUUCCAACUGUUGUCCCCCACUACUCGGUAGAUUCCUACGCGUUACUCACCCGUCCGCCACUCGUCAGCAACUAGCAAGCUAGUUCUGUUACCGUUCGACUUGCAUGUGUUAAGCCUGCCGCCAGCGUUCAAUCUGAGCCAGGAUCAAACUCU
This 778-nucleotide ribosomal RNA is filed under the name uncultured bacterium. RNAcentral describes it as "partial 16S ribosomal RNA". The record is from RNAcentral.